AUCCUUUUGUAGCUCAUAAGCGUGUUGGUUGGGUUUUCACGUGCAUGCGUGAGAUGCGCCUCCCACAAAUCCUGUUAUGACGUUGACGUGGGCACAUUACCCAUCUGACA
This is a small nucleolar RNA of Otolemur garnettii (small-eared galago), 110 nucleotides long. Lineage: Eukaryota; Metazoa; Chordata; Mammalia; Primates; Galagidae. The record is from Ensembl.